UUUGAUCAUGGCUCAGAACGAACGCUGGCGGCGUGCCUAACACAUGCAAGUCGAACGGAGGCAAGGGGCUUGCUCCUUGCUUUAGUGGCGCACGGGUGAGUAACGCGUGGAUAAUCUGCCUGAUGAUCUGGGAUAACAUUUCGAAAGGGGUGCUAAUACCGGAUAAGCCCACGGAGUCUUAGGACUCUGCGGGAAAAGGGGGGGACCUUAGGGCCUUCCGUCAUCAGAUGAGUCCGCGUACCAUUAGCUAGUUGGUGGGGUAAAGGCCUACCAAGGCAACGAUGGUUAGCUGGUCUGAGAGGAUGAUCAGCCACACUGGAACUGAGACACGGUCCAGACUCCUACGGGAGGCAGCAGUGGGGAAUUUUGCGCAAUGGGGGAAACCCUGACGCAGCAACGCCGCGUGAGUGAUGAAGGCCUUCGGGUCGUAAAGCUCUGUCAGAGGGAAAGAAGUGUGGGAGGGUUAAUACCCCUUUCACUUGACGGUACCCUCAAAGGAAGCACCGGCCAACUCCGUGCCAGCAGCCGCGGUAAUACGGAGGGUGCGAGCGUUGUUCGGAAUUAUUGGGCGUAAAGCGCGUGUAGGCGGCUCCUUAAGUCUGAUGUGAAAGCCCUGGGCUCAACCCGGGAAGUGCAUUGGAAACUGGGGAACUUGAAUACGGGAGAGGGCAGUGGAAUUCCUGGUGUAGGAGUGAAAUCCGUAGAUAUCAGGAGGAACACCGGUGGCGAAGGCGGCUGCCUGGACCGAUAUUGACGCUGAGACGCGAAAGCGUGGGGAGCAAACAGGAUUAGAUACCCUGGUAGUCCACGCCGUAACGAUGAGUACUAGGUGUUGCGGGUAUUGACCCCUGCAGUGCCGCAGCUAACGCAUUAAGUACUCCGCCUGGGAAGUA
This 893-nucleotide ribosomal RNA is filed under the name uncultured bacterium. RNAcentral describes it as "bacterial SSU rRNA". It matches the Rfam family "Bacterial small subunit ribosomal RNA", at positions 12 to 882 of the family's 1533-position model. The record is from RNAcentral.